RNAcentral lists this ribosomal RNA (301 nucleotides) under uncultured bacterium. RNAcentral describes it as "partial 16S ribosomal RNA". It matches the Rfam family "Bacterial small subunit ribosomal RNA", at positions 509 to 809 of the family's 1533-position model. The record is from RNAcentral.
CAGCAGCCGCGGUAAUACAGAGGGUGCGAGCGUUAAUCGGAUUUACUGGGCGUAAAGCGUGCGUAGGCGGCUUUUUAAGUCGGAUGUGAAAUCCCUGAGCUUAACUUAGGAAUUGCAUUCGAUACUGGGAAGCUAGAGUAUGGGAGAGGAUGGUAGAAUUCCAGGUGUAGCGGUGAAAUGCGUAGAGAUCUGGAGGAAUACCGAUGGCGAAGGCAGCCAUCUGGCCUAAUACUGACGCUGAGGUACGAAAGCAUGGGGAGCAAACAGGAUUAGAUACCCGCGUAGUCCCUGUCUCUUAUAU